CCUACGGGAGGCAGCAGUGAGGAAUAUUGGUCAAUGGGCGUAAGCCUGAACCAGCCAAGUCGCGUGAGGGAUGACUGCCCUACGGGUCGUAAACCUCUUUUAUAAAGGAAUAAAGUGCGGCACGUGUCCCUUUUUGUAUGUACCUUAUGAAUAAGGAUCGGCUAACUCCGUGCCAGCAGCCGCGGUAAUACGGAGGAUCCGAGCGUUAUCCGGAUUUAUUGGGUUUAAAGGGAGCGUAGAUGGCUUGUUAAGUCAGUGGUGAAAGUUUGUGGCUCAACCGUAAAAUUGCCAUUGAUACUGGGAGCCUUGAGUAUAGUUGAGGUAGGCGGAAUUCGUGGUGUAGCGGUGAAAUGCUUAGAUAUCACGCAGAACCCCGAUUGCGAAGGCAGCCUGCUAAGCCGUGACUGACACUGAUGCUCGAAAGCGUGGGUAUCAAACAGGAUUAGAUACCCGAGUAGUC
This 460-nucleotide ribosomal RNA is filed under the name uncultured bacterium. RNAcentral's name for it is "partial 16S ribosomal RNA". It matches the Rfam family "Bacterial small subunit ribosomal RNA", at positions 338 to 795 of the family's 1533-position model. The record is from RNAcentral.